GUCCUGGGUAGCCUAGUGAACAUGGCAUUUGCCCGAUAAGCGGAACACUGUGUUUCGAUUUCCAUCCCUGGACA
This 74-nucleotide transfer RNA is filed under the name Cordylochernes scorpioides. Its description in RNAcentral is "tRNA-Ile". The record is from RNAcentral. Lineage: Eukaryota; Metazoa; Arthropoda; Arachnida; Pseudoscorpiones; Chernetidae.